UAUGCUCAGACUUCUUCUGGGCUCAUACUUCUUCUGAGUCACCUUUGAUUAUGAUUAUUGGGUUGAAUUGGUUUGCCAAAUUUUCACGGAAAGUUUGUUUCUUUUUGGAAUCUGGAUUUUGGGUUUUACUGGGUUGGAUGAGUUUUUGAUGGUAGCUGCAUCUUUGUAUUAUUUUUCAGAUUGAUGAUUAGUUUUCAAAUUUCAAUUAUCUUCCCUGUGAUGGUAUUAUGAUGUUCGGCAAUAUAUAGAUUGAUUGUGAAGCUAUACAUUCUCACCUUGCAUAUAUUUGAAUUUGAAUAUUAAUUCCAAGAGGUGGGCUGAUCAUGAUCUAGAUAAAUCAACACCUUUGUAAACAUUCACAGUAGCCGACAAGAAAAGAAGCUUGAUGAGGUGCCGACAUAGAAAAGCAAAAAAAAAGAAGAAAAGCUUGGCGGUGGUUUUCUAAUCAAGUUUGAAAACUUGGUGAUGAUAUGCUCCCUAAGGAAUCAAUUCCCACUAAGUUUUCGUAAUCUGUAUGUGUCAUAUAUAGGCAGUUAGUUAUUCCAUUCUAAUGAGAAAAUGUUUGAUUCACCAUUGCAUUCCAACCUCUUUUAUGCCACCGCUGUGGACGAUUUGUAGAAGCCAACUUUCUGCAUAGUUGUAGGCAUCAAGACCCAUUCUUUUAUUCUCCUACUGUGGUAUAAUGGUGCAGAAGGCCUCCACACGAAAGUGACCAAGUUUGUCAGGGACAAAGACUGUGUUGUAUGUGGCCCAGGUGUGCUUAUUGAGCUGGACAACUCAGUUACUUUGCAAAAGUUGUCAUUAGAUGUUAACGGUUGUGAACCCCGCUGAAGAAGUUGUGCAUUUCAUGAAUCCAUUGAAGAGACGACUUAUCACCGGUGAAUGGAAAACUAUUGUGGACAACUCAAUCAAACUAUGCAAUGAGCAAAAAACUAAGAAAGGCAGAAAAAUAGUUACAUGAAAAAAUUGUGCGGGCAUUCUGGAGCAGCAAGGUGAUAAAACCUGUGGGUUUUGGAUUAUGCAUUACAUGAAGGACAUAGUGGAGGACAAGAACCAAGAGUGGAGUGCUAAGUGGGACAGAAAGGGAAGCAACAUGUACACACAAAAUGAUAUUGAUAAGGUUCGGGCCGAGUGGGCACCAAAUGGUGCCCAAUUUCAAGAAAGCUAGUGCCUAACUCUUAUAUAUAUCUGCUUUUGGACAUGCAUCACAUAUAUAACCCAGAUCAGGAAGCUAUAGGUACUAGUUUUUUGCUUUACAUGCUCGAUACUGUAAUGUUUGUUGCGUUGCCUUUAUCGAUCAUGUCUUUUGUUUCAUGGAUGGGGUUGUAUUGAACUGAUCCAUAGCAGGUUGUGUAAUAUACUGAAUGAUUUGCCAGUUUGAUGAAAUGGCAUUUUCUGGAUUUCCAGAUUACCUAAUGAACAGUACAAAAUGAUUUUUCUGA
Molecule: RNA transcript, 1442 nt
Organism: Rosa chinensis
Lineage: Eukaryota; Viridiplantae; Streptophyta; Magnoliopsida; Rosales; Rosaceae
Exons: 6
Source: RefSeq, a predicted model, not a curated record